Molecule: ribosomal RNA, 1816 nt
Filed under: Escherichia coli
Lineage: Bacteria; Pseudomonadati; Pseudomonadota; Gammaproteobacteria; Enterobacterales; Enterobacteriaceae
Description: bacterial LSU rRNA
Rfam family: Bacterial large subunit ribosomal RNA
Source: RNAcentral
GGCGUGUGACUGCGUACCUUUUGUAUAAUGGGUCAGCGACUUAUAUUCUGUAGCAAGGUUAACCGAAUAGGGGAGCCGAAGGGAAACCGAGUCUUAACUGGGCGUUAAGUUGCAGGGUAUAGACCCGAAACCCGGUGAUCUAGCCAUGGGCAGGUUGAAGGUUGGGUAACACUAACUGGAGGACCGAACCGACUAAUGUUGAAAAAUUAGCGGAUGACUUGUGGCUGGGGGUGAAAGGCCAAUCAAACCGGGAGAUAGCUGGUUCUCCCCGAAAGCUAUUUAGGUAGCGCCUCGUGAAUUCAUCUCCGGGGGUAGAGCACUGUUUCGGCAAGGGGGUCAUCCCGACUUACCAACCCGAUGCAAACUGCGAAUACCGGAGAAUGUUAUCACGGGAGACACACGGCGGGUGCUAACGUCCGUCGUGAAGAGGGAAACAACCCAGACCGCCAGCUAAGGUCCCAAAGUCAUGGUUAAGUGGGAAACGAUGUGGGAAGGCCCAGACAGCCAGGAUGUUGGCUUAGAAGCAGCCAUCAUUUAAAGAAAGCGUAAUAGCUCACUGGUCNUAGAAGCAGCCAUCAUUUAAAGAAAGCGUAAUAGCUCACUGGUCGAGUCGGCCUGCGCGGAAGAUGUAACGGGGCUAAACCAUGCACCGAAGCUGCGGCAGCGACGCUGAUGCGUUGUUGGGUAGGGGAGCGUUCUGUAAGCCUGCGAAGGUGUGCUGUGAGGCAUGCUGGAGGUAUCAGAAGUGCGAAUGCUGACAUAAGUAACGAUAAAGCGGGUGAAAAGCCCGCUCGCCGGAAGACCAAGGGUUCCUGUCCAACGUUAAUCGGGGCAGGGUGAGUCGACCCCUAAGGCGAGGCCGAAAGGCGUAGUCGAUGGGAAACAGGUUAAUAUUCCUGUACUUGGUGUUACUGCGAAGGGGGGACGGAGAAGGCUAUGUUGGCCGGGCGACGGUUGUCCCGGUUUAAGCGUGUAGGCUGGUUUUCCAGGCAAAUCCGGAAAAUCAAGGCUGAGGCGUGAUGACGAGGCACUACGGUGCUGAAGCAACAAAUGCCCUGCUUCCAGGAAAAGCCUCUAAGCAUCAGGUAACAUCAAAUCGUACCCCAAACCGACACAGGUGGUCAGGUAGAGAAUACCAAGGCGCUUGAGAGAACUCGGGUGAAGGAACUAGGCAAAAUGGUGCCGUAACUUCGGGAGAAGGCACGCUGAUAUGUAGGUGAAGUCCCUUGCGGAUGGAGCUGAAAUCAGUCGAAGAUACCAGCUGGCUGCAACUGUUUAUUAAAAACACAGCACUGUGCAAACACGAAAGUGGACGUAUACGGUGUGACGCCUGCCCGGUGCCGGAAGGUUAAUUGAUGGGGUUAGCCGCAAGGCGAAGCUCUUGAUCGAAGCCCCGGUAAACGGCGGCCGUAACUAUAACGGUCCUAAGGUAGCGAAAUUCCUUGUCGGGUAAGUUCCGACCUGCACGAAUGGCGUAAUGAUGGCCAGGCUGUCUCCACCCGAGACUCAGUGAAAUUGAACUCGCUGUGAAGAUGCAGUGUACCCGCGGCAAGACGGAAAGACCCCGUGAACCUUUACUAUAGCUUGACACUGAACAUUGAGCCUUGAUGUGUAGGAUAGGUGGGAGGCUUUGAAGUGUGGACGCCAGUCUGCAUGGAGCCGACCUUGAAAUACCACCCUUUAAUGUUUGAUGUUCUAACGUUGACCCGUAAUCCGGGUUGCGGACAGUGUCUGGUGGGUAGUUUGACUGGGGCGGUCUCCUCCUAAAGAGUAACGGAGGAGCACGAAGGUUGGCUAAUCCUGGUCGGACAUCAGG